This 43754-nucleotide long non-coding RNA is filed under the name Setaria italica (foxtail millet). RNAcentral's name for it is "long non-coding RNA (SITA_LNC001611)". Lineage: Eukaryota; Viridiplantae; Streptophyta; Magnoliopsida; Poales; Poaceae. The record is from RNAcentral.
AUUUUCAGAGUAAUUUAAUUAGGUGAUCUUGAUGGUUGAAAUCUCCUUGUUAGGAUAUUAUGCAAUUUGGAGUGAGUAUUACUCUUGCAUUUUAGAGAUUUGGGUGGGAAGGUUUUGUGUCAUUGAAUUUGGCUCCUGGCUGUAAUGUCGCAGCAUCCAGAGGUCAUCUGGUGAGUUACUGGGGUCAAUUUUUGGGUUAGCAGCAUAUCUAUGUUCAGAGCAUGUCUGCCUCUGAUUUGGCUGUUUCCUUGCUGAGGGUCCAGCAACAUGGCUGCCUUCACUAACAGCCCACUAGGGAUUCUUGGGGAAAUUGUUUCUUUUAAGAAUUUGAGCCCAAAAUGAUUCAAGACUGAUAUUUUUUGUUUAAUUUAAAUCUUGUACAUUGGGUGAGAGGAGUAUCACUAACAACCUUCCGAAGACUUGCUUUCAGAGUAGUGGUAUUCCCGCUUCUGUUUGGUUGCCUGUUCCACUAAAUUUAGGUCCAAGAGCUGUACAUAAUUUGCCUAUAUUGAGUGGUAAGCCUGAAUGUCGGUAACUCCAUAUCUGGUCAUCAUGCAAUGUGGAGUGACCAUUUGCAUUUGCAUUGUCGAGCUAAAACUAUUGAGUGGCAAGGUUUUUUUAGUUGACAUUUCUUUGUUUUGGGCUUUUGGCUUGCUGCCAUAUUGUAGUGUCAAAAGAUCACUGGGCAGUUUUUAGGUUGAUCAUUAGGGCAGGUCUACUUCUUGAUUGGGCUGUGCUAAGGAUCCAGUGUAACAUGGUGUCAUAGUAUAGCUAUUAUCUCCACACUACCAGCCCACUUGUAACACUUGGUGAAAUUGUUUUGAGAAUCUUUUGACCAUAAUGAUUCUGGAGCUGGGGGCAAAGUAUCUAGCUAGACUUUAUAGUAGUUUGUGAUCAUAUCCCAAAGAUCUGAUAAUCUGAUACACAAUCCCUUUAGUCCAACAUGUGUAGGGUGCUUAACAUGUAACAACCAGACAUGUCGUCAUCAGUUGUUUGCGCAUAUAUUAGUGGUUUGCAUAUAAGAUUUAGGGCUUAAUUAGAAAGGCUAGCUGCAGCCAUGCUUGACAAUGAUUGACCAAAUAAAGCGUCCGCGCUUUAUCAUGCGGAUGCCCUGUUGGCUGGUGCUUGCAGCGCUGGGAAUCGUUGUCGCAUGUACGCCGCUGGUCGAAAUAAUUCUGCAUGAUUUUCUAUCCAGUUGGAUGCUUGAUUUGAAUUGAUCAAGGAGAUCGUCUGCACUCGCUGUCUGGAUUUCUGUGGUAUUAUUCUUUUUUUGUGCAAAGCUGUUGAACAGGGAUUCGGAGUGUUGAAGGGUUUGGACUGUUUUGAUCGCUGCUCCUAACUCCUUCAGAGUUGGUUUCAGUUGCUGAAACUGCUGUGCAUGAUUUCAACUUUCAAGUAACGAGAAACUCUUAUCUUUUGGUGAAUGAUUCAAUCAAGUUGGAUGGUUGGUUUGCAUAUAUCUUACUGGAUGUGCAGACUAGUUUUUGGGAGAGAUGCUGCUCAACAUAAUGCUAUGUGUUGGACCACUUAACCACUAGUUUACCACUACUACUGUGUGCCUGUGUGGGUAGGCUUAGUUUAUCUUGGAUGCUGGGCUUGGAUAGUUCAUCUUAUUGGUAGGCCAUGCUUUGGUACUCAUGUUUGCACAUGUUACCAAACAUACAUGUACUGCUGACUGCUGAGGUGAGGUCAAAGUCGAUGCAUCGAGAUGCCAUCUACUGCUCAGUUUCAGAUGUGGUCUGAUGGAGAAAAUUGAGUUUAACUGAAAACGUACUCGCAUGUUCUGGUCAAACCCAGGCAAGAAUUCCCUGAUGCUGCCAAGUGCCAGGAUAAACAAGGACAUUGCUGGUACACUUGCCGUGGUAUUGAAUUGAGCACGCCAUUUGUUUAUGGAAUAAACAAGAGAUCGCCGGACAUGUUGCCAUGGCGCCGUCUGAUCGGACAGUUCAUCGCCGGGCAUUUUUUAUGGCUGGAUCCAACAGCUUCCCAGCAUGCAAAUCUGCAUAAAUGUACAUGCUCAUUCAGACAGUUGCGUGUCCACAGCAUCUCGCAAAGUCUCAUCGGCUUACAUCUCUUCUGCCUCCAGUGCUAGUCAUCUCUCUUCCUGUUCCUCCUGCUCGCGUUUCUUCUUCUUCUUCUUCUUCUUCUUGUUGCCAUGGCCAGCCUCGUGCACCAGGCGUCCAUGCCGGCGAGGGCGAUGCCGGCGUGCGACGAGGAGCUCGUCCCGCAGGGCUUCAGCUGCUUCGGGCGCUCGCUGUCUCGGGCGUCGUCGUCGAGCCGGCUCGAGUACAGGGCGCUGCAGCAGCAGCAGCAGCAGGAGCAGGGCGAGGAGAGGUGCGCCGCGCAGGACGCGUGGUCGGCGCGCGCCAAGCUGCGGUGGAAGGCCGUGGCGCACGAGAUCAUGGCGAAAGGCGGUGGCGGCGGCGCGCGGCGGAGGAAGCAGCAGCUCGCGGCGUUCAGCUACGACUCCAGGAGCUACGCGCUCAACUUCGACCAGGGCGCCGCCGAGUAGCAGCUGCAGCAGCGUGUCUGCACGCGGCCGGCCGACCCGGCGAAUGGUGCGGGUCGGCAGAGCCUGAAACAGCACGGUGGCGUGUGCGUGGGUUCGUGCACGGCGACAGGUCGGCGAGGGAGCAGGCGGCUGUUGAUGAUGCCGUCCGCUGCGGAGGUGGAGGACGGCAGGACGCGAUCGUGGCGCUGCGCAAGGAGGGCGACAUGCCGUCGAACAUCGCGGCACGGUGCUCCGCGUCCUCCUCUGGUGCUUAACGUUUCUGCAGUGUUGAGAAAUGCAGUGGGGAUCACCGUAGCAGGCUGUGAGGAGUGAAAUAGCUAUUGCUAGCUGUUGUGGGAACGUUGCAAGGAAAAUUGUUUGCAAAUUUUGUUUAGAGUUUGUGACAUCACUGUUUUUUCCCCCCAUUUAGGAGUGAAAUAAACCAUCCGGGAAUUGUUGUCGCAUGUACGCUGCCGGUUUGCCUUAAUGCUGCAUGAUUUUCAAUCCAGUUGGAUGCUUGAUCUGAAUGGAUUGCAGGUAUCUCUGCACUCUUGCUGUUUGGAUUGGUUUGUGAUUCUCUUGGCUCAAAUCUGUUCAGCUGGCAUUAGAUGUGUUGCAGUUUUUGGCUGCUCUGAUCAUUGGUCUGUCUUCUUUAGGUGGUUCCUCAAUUCCGCAGGAAAACUUAUUUAAGUUUCCGACUGCAGCGCAUCAAUCUACCAAUGCUUGAGGGCGAAAAACCGCGCAAGCGCACAUGGUUAAAUAGGACAGCAAAUAUCAAACAAAUAAAUUAUUUGGCGUGCAUAUGCUUAAUGGCACGAUAUAAUAAACCGCCAUAACAUUUUACCAUUACAACUGUUUUCCUUUGCAAAUGAGUGCUGAAAAUCCUUUGAAGAAAAGAUACAGCUCCGAAACUGGAGUGCACCAAAGUACCAGACACAAUCCUUGAACUCAGACAAGUUCGGUGCCGUCGCCCUGGAUGCAGAAGCGGAGACAGUCCACAGCAGUACGCGGGCCUAACGGACGGUAGUGCCAAGGUUCUUUGCUUCCAUCUGUAACAUUGUACCCCCGGGUCUCCCCGUCACUAUCAACCCCAAGAUAGAUGGUGUUAGGAGUGACAGGGGCAAAGGCAUCUUCUCGAUCUCGAUCAUAUUCACAGUAUAGCAUUCUUCCUCCCCCGUCACUGGAUCAUGCUCGACGAGGUCCGCGCGCGCUCCCGCCGCCACCGCUUCCUUAACGUCUCCACCGGUGAGUACAUCAGGAUGGACAAUCCCGGAGCUCGACGACCACAGGUUGCUCACGCUCACCCCCGAGGGCCUCCUCCUGCUGCUCCACGAAGCCACCCUGGUCGUCCGCCUGCUUAAUCCGCUCACACACCAGUUCACCGACUUUCCCCGGUUGACCGAGCUCCUGCAAGCUAGGGGCUAUGAGUCGGCACGAAGUCUUCAGGUGUAUGGUGCUGGCCUUGUUGCCGAUGCCUCCACAGUGGCAGUAUGUUUCUCUUGUCCCAUGGUGCUUGCUGUUGCUAAGCCCGGCGGCAAGAGCUGGACCGUGAUCAACGACGACUACAUGAAUUCGGUCUUGCCUUUUGCGGGGCGUUUCUACUGUGCCACCUACAGGGGUGUCAUGGUGGUGAAUAUCACUUCAGAUCAGCAGCCGCCAAUGCUGCUGAUGGUCGCUGAACUGAGCGAGUCAUUUUAUUUCUCCAAAAUGGCGCACAGCUUUCACCUGGUGGACAAUGGUGGGGAGUUGAUGCUGGUGCACCGAUGUCUGGACAGCAACUAUAAGAGAAAGUAUGAUGUUUAUAGAGUGGAUUUGGAAGCUGGACUCCUGAUGCCGGUCAAGAGCUUCAACGGGUGUGCCGUGUUCAUGGGCAUGAGCCGCACAAUCUCUGUAUCAGCAGGGGCCUUUCCCUCUAUCACUGCUGACAUAAUCUAACUGGCGUGCGAAUGUGAUAGGAAAAUUCUGGGGUACAAUAUUGCAGAUGGAAGCAGAGUACCUUGCCAAUGCGGUCCAAUUCCUGAUGGGUGGGUAUGCCCGGAUAGCAUUAUCGACUGCCUGUGCAACUGCAUCCAGGGCAUCGGCGACCGACUUGCCUGAGCUCACGUAUAUUGCUGUGUUUGCUGCGAAUCUGGAUCUCGAGCUGCAUUCCUUUAAGCUGUACCUGGUUUUGUCGUGCCUUUGAGCAUAGAGCUUUUUUGGGGGUACAAAUAUAAUUUUGCGGCACCUAUUCCCAACAUUUGUACCUCAACAAAUAAUGUAUCAACGCAUAUUUAUAUUUGGUACAAGCAUUUAGCAUGUGUACUUGCCUUAGUUCCAACUGCUCGAGCACGCCCCGUUUAGCUUAUUUGAAGGAACUGCGAACAACUUGAUUGCCUGAAUCUAUUUGCACGAUCAUUGACGCUUGAUCGGCGGCCAAGGUGGUGCAUUCCAGGCGGCACCCUUGGAGUUUCUGUACUCCAGCUAGCAUCUCCUCCUGGGGCGUGAUCUCCAUGUGCAUGUGCGACCUCGCCGGCUAAGCCAGGUCCUUCGAUUACUUCCGACAUGCACGAUGAUAUGCCUAGGCUUGUAAUACCUGCAAUACCACUGUGUGGCUGUGUUCCUGAGUCUUGAUGAUGCUUCAACUUGGCCCAGUUUGUUUAUCUACCCCAGUUUCAUGCUCCUGCCGGUAUUGAUUCUUCUAGAAAACCGACCGUAUUUGCCUUACAAAUGUAUUUGCAAACGGAACUUAGAGAAGUCGAAAACCUUAGCAGGCAGAAUCAACAAACUCAAGCUCGAGGUUACGCUGGCCAUAAAUAAAGAAGUAAAGAACGACCGGUACAGCAGACUCAACCCGUCAACCGGAUAUGCCCUCGACCUCGACGAAUAGGUUGAACCCAACAUAUCAUAGCUUCAACACUUACGGAGCGAAAAAUAGACACAGCUCAAGCCAUUAAUAGUUGACAGGUGACAUUCUGUACAAAGUUUGCUUCAAACGAAAUCCCAAUUUUGCUCUCUGGAGGCUAAGAAGCACGAUGCUACGAGAAAAAGGAGCAUGGCAUAACACUAGUGAAGCAGAUGCAAGAUAGAUUUGGGACCAUCUUCAGUCUUCACCGAAUUCUAUCUGUAUUCUCCACAUACACCCAGCAAUUGAAAUCCACUCAUGUACAUUUACAGGCGGACAGAACUCACGUUUAUUAGUUAUUAUGUGUAGAACAAAAAAGAAGCCGAGUAAUCAACAGAAUAAUUUCUAUAGCACGCACUGUCUCCCGACGUAUCAAUUGGAGCUUACAAGGAAGGCAUGCUGGCACACUCCGCACUCCACUGUCUCUGAGCCAGAUGUUGGAACCUGAACCUGAAGUUCCACAGCCAAAUGGUACAAAUGCAUUAUAAUAGUUAAUUCGCCAUGUACCAAAAGCAAAAUUACUAGGAGCAUCUGUGAAUUUGUGUUAUGCACGGCCGACAGCUUACCUGAAGAUGGACUGUGCAGGUAGGGCAUGCAACUUCCCUCAUUCUGGUACCAGAUGCACCACCACCAGAUACGGGACCUUUUCAAGCCGAGAUUUCAGAAUUCUGAUGCACUGUAGUCCGUAAUUUGAACUUGUAAAAGGGAUGGCAAGCAAGAAGUACCUGAAGACUUGCGGUUUCGCUCCAUUUCCUCCUAAUGACAGCAUAAUUUCGUUAAAAUGAUUGAUAUCAUAAACAAAUUAUAAGACAUUUCAGCUCUAUGGUUCAUCUUUUUUCCCAUUGGACUUUGUGAAUAACCAAAAUGAUGCGCAAAAUUUCCUGAAGGCAACUUCAUGCCUUCAUGGGAUAAAGAUCCUUAUUCGAACUUUCCACAACUUCAUCUAGUUAUAGUUCUUGAAUCGAAGUAAUUGGAAGCAUGCAACUUAUAGCUUGCAGGUAGAUUAAAACAUCUGGUAAGCCUUUCAAUAUAAUGGCCGAGUUGCAACAGCAAUCUUACCAUCACUGGGGAAUAUUGAUGCUGCUCAUACUAGCCUUUUUUAUACCUAAGCUAGUGCCUGCUUUUGCCUUAUCAAUGUGCAACAAAAUAUGCACUAAAAAAAUUUGGUUGUGAAACUGUACGCCCCCAAUUUGGCCAUGUUUUUGGUAAAAUGAUGAUCUACAAAAUCAUAUCAAUGUUGCAAUAAUGGAAGGGACUGCCAAAUUUCUGGCAGUAAAAUGCACGGUGAAUCCAAUGAAAGCAACAAAACUUUUGACACUUUUGGCUUCAAACCAGGAAUGCCCAAUUAAAUCAAGUGCACAUGCCACUUAAAUAGUUAAUGAAUAUAUGCCAGAGGAAAUACCUUAAGUUUUCUAGCAAGAUCUCCAUGACUCUGCACGGUUGCAGAUCUGCUGGUAGCUUCCUUAGCCAUGCUAAGCCUUUGAGUGACCUCAGCCUGUAAGAUAUAAGAACCAACCAUUAUGAGCGCAUGGCAUAGCAACUCUACCAACAGCCAAGCAUAGUUCCAUAUAAACCUAUCUGAAAUACUAAUAGUGUCUUAUGCAAUGAAAUUAUUGCCUAAAAUAGAACUACUACUCCCUCCGUCCCAAUUUAUAGGUCAUUUUGGCUUUUCUAGCUGCAUAGUUUUAGCUAUGCACUUAGAUAUAUGCUUACGUCUAGAUACACGGUAAAUACUAUGAAUCUAGAAAAGCCAAAACAACCUAUGAUUUGAAACCGAGGAAGUAACUUAAUAGAACAAAACAUAUAGGUAGAAAAACACAAAGCAAACAUACACAACUCAGGGAUGUAUUUAAGUCGGUACCGAAAAUCCAGCAAAUAAGUUGUCCAGAGCUACAGCAUCUACAGGGUGAGUUAUUAAGCAAAGAACAACAAUAACCAAACCGCCUUAGCUAUAGGGUGGGUACACUAUAUUGAAGUAACAUUACGAAGCACAUUAACAAGAGGAGCUACAGAUCCAGCAGUGCAAUCCUGGUUCAAAACCACUAGCAACAAAGAAGUGACAACUGACAAGUGAACUGAAUAUUACAAACUCGUAGCCUUGUUUUAACAAUGCUGGUAUUCAUAAAUGUGGGGUUGAAAGAGAGCUUACGAACUGAAACUAACAUAGAAGCAAAGUAAGUCCAGUCAAUGUGAAAAGAAGGAAAUCAUUGAGUAACAAUUGCGUGGCGGAAUGUACCAUGCAUCUAUCACAAACUCGGACAAGCGGAGCAUUAUCCUCAGCUGUCAGAGCAAUUCUUCCCUGACUGCAUUUGUCACAGAAGAUUUCACCACAGUUCCGACAAUGAUGCUGCAGAAAAGGAACCAUCUUGAUACAUCAAAAUUUUUACCAUAAGAGAUAAUGAGUACAUGGACAAAGAUGCUAUAUAGAUUACCCUGCGAUUGAAAGGGCUAAAAUCAACAGCACAUGAGUGGCACUUCUUAGCAACCUCGUCUGGAACCUAAAAAGGUGACAAAAGUAUAUAUUAAAUAAUGCAGACACUUAAUAACAGAAUAACAAGUGAAGAGACAUAAUAAUCAUAAGAUUAAGAAAGGGUGAUACAAGAUUAAUCAUAAGAUUAAGAAAUGGUGAUACAAGAUGGUGAAAACUGUCAAGAAGAAUUUAGAAUAAGAUCCAUAACACUAACAUAAACCAAUAGAAGUAGAGGUGAUGAAUGUGAUCUGAGGAAAUGUUUAAUGAGGGUUAGAGAUGCAUGUAAUCACAUACAUGCAGCAGAGCACAGAAGAUAUUCUUAUCAAAAUAUCAUGUCAAACAACAUCUGCAAGAAAAUAGCUACACUAGAACAGUUCCUUUAAUCUUAAUCGUGUAGUCAAGUAACCAUUCGAUAUUAGGGAUCAGCUUACCCAAUGGUCUUUCACUUCAUCAACAGGUUUUGCAAACAUCCAAUCAAAACCUUUCUUCUUCUCAUUUGAUUGAACCGUAGGAUUGCCAGCAUCCACAGUUCCUUUGCUUUUAGCAUCUCCACCAAUCUCCUUAAACUAAAUACCAAAGCACAAAGUUAAGUGUUGCACAGGCAAAAAGAGCAAAAUUGUUUUUCAAUGCAAUUACAUGCAUAAAUGACCCACUGAACAAAAUACACCACCAAGCAGAUAGUCAACCUACAUCUGUAGUGAAAUUUAUAAGAAAAAAUAGGCAGGUUUCUACAGAAAACUUUCAGACAAAACAUUAACAAUCCCAUCCAAUAUCCAGCUUAUCCAACUUGUCUCCCUUUCCAAAACAAGAAAGUGUGCACUUCAAACACAGCAACCAUUGAGAUAUAAAUUCAAAAGGACAACAUGACAGUAAAGAAUAAAAUGCCAUUUUGGUAGUUUUAUGUUAUGUGAGCACAUCUUAAAACUGCUGCAUGCUAGCAAAUUAUAAACCAUUCUGAAGCAACAACAAAGACAAAAAAGAACGGAAGUAGAAAUAUAAUGGAACUUAACAUCACCUCAGAAUCAUUUUGAUUGUUUUCAGUAGAUACACGAGGCCAAAUAUUGUCAGGGAUAGGGAGAAUAGUGGUGCUGCAAUACCUGCACUGUUGCUGCUGUCACAGUGUCAAGCAUAGUAUUGGAAGUAUAACUGUUUGACUUCAGCCUAAUUCGUUUUGGAUCAAUAUCCACUGAUGUCUUCGCCCAGAAAGCAAAUAUAGUUGAAUCCAAAACCUAAAUAAGAACCGCAAACAGACAUUAAUCUCACUCACCAUUGCAUAUUGUGUUAAAAAAAACAGACAUCAUUUUCAUAAGAACAAGCUGGCUAACUGACCUCCCAUCUCGUCAGUGAAUCGAGGGGAUAAAUCCUUAGGGUCCUGCUUGUAUUUGGAUCAAGCAUGCGAAUUCCAUCUAGACCAAUCUGCAACAGCACCAUCAAGACAUCAUCUCAUGUAUCAAAAUGGCAAUUGAUUUUUCUUUUUUCAUCAAUGGCAACUAGUAAAUGUGGGUGCAAGGGAAAUUAUUAAAUCAUAGCACGAGAAUUUCAUGUUUUGCCCAUGAUGCAUAAUUUCAUGAAUCUGAUCAUAACCGUACCUGGCAAAGCACAUCAGUAGGGUUCCCUGCACCCUCUGGCAGCAGCUUAACCCGAAAUUUCUGAGCACCACCACUCUCAUCCUCAUGCGUGUCCACCUUCGGAAGGGCCCUCGCGAUCGCCCCAAAGCUCCCACCACCCCCACUGCCACCGCCACCACCGCUCCAGGGCUGCUGCUCCCCUCCAGAUGGGACACUGAUCGACCGCCCAUAGUCAUCAAACAGCGCGGAUCCCGACCGCGCAGGGGCCGUGCCGCGCGCGCCGUACGGCUCCGAACCGCCGCCGCCGCGGUACGCGUACGCGCCCUCGUUCAGGUAAUCCUCGUUGUCGUACCCCGCGGCCGGCGGCUGGUACCCGCCCCCGUAGUACGGGGCGUCGUAGGGCAGCGGCGGAGGGUUGGGCUCCGCAGCCGGUGGGGGCGUGGACUGGGUGGGCGGCGGCGUGUAGUUGUAGUACGGCUCCGGCGGGUAGGGCGCGGGGUUGGUGUGGUAGGGCGGGUACCCGACGGCGCCGUACUGGGGCUGUGGGGGCGGCGGCUGCGAGUAGGCCGGGGCGGAGGGCGGCUGGUCGGAGUAGCCUCCGCCGACGGAGUAGGGCGGCGCGGAGGCGGAGACGUAGCCGCCCGCCCCCGCCGCCGACGCGUCGGUGGCGGCUGGGUACGGGUUCGAGUCCGGGGGCGCGUACUGGUGCGGGUAGUAGUGACCGGCGGGAUCGGAGGACGCGUAGUCGCCGCUCCCGUGCUGCAUCUCCGGUGGCCGAUCGGACGGGGGCGUGGGAUCAAGGCCGGUGGCGCGGACGCCGACGAGGUCGACGGCGAAUUUGAUUCGAUUCGUUGCGUUGCGUUUGCGUUUGCGUUUGUUGCACGGGGAAAGGAAAGGGGGAAAAGGAUGGUGGGGGUUGCUGGUAGGAGGGAGGUUGACGUGUUGGUUCCCAGCCUGGGUUGUUUAUUCGUUUUGGAGCGUGCACUUGCGCGGGGACCGUUCGAUUUGGCCGGCAGGUGGGAGUGGACGGCCGUGAUGGACCUGUGGUGGAUUCGGGCUCGCCUUUCGCGGCAGUUCGCCACGGAUGCAGCUAGUUAUCACAAAAAGGCGACAAAUUCACCAAUGUCGCAGCGUAUGCACCUAUUACCUAUCUAUUCUUAGCCCACAAGGCCAAGCUUUAUCAGCGCCAGAGAGAAGAAAAGAAUCAGCUACAUGUAUGGACAAGUUUGAUGAUAUCAUCGACGUGCAUGUGAAGUUUAAAAAAAUCAUAACCUAUAAACCAAGAACCUAACUUUAAUUCUGAUUACACUACUAAACUUAUUAUAACGAUAUCUUCAAAAUAAACCCACUAUGUUUUGGAUGAAAUUUAUUUAUGGAUAUUUUUACGAAGGUGAAAAUAUUUCUAUGAUAUGUAUAUAUAUCUGGAACAAAUUACACGAAGUUAAUUAUACACACAUCGAACAAAUUAUAUGAAUACAUAGAACAGAAAAAAAUGUAUAGUACGUCUCGAACAAAUUAUACGAACUCAGUUCGGAAAAUAUGCAACCUUGAUUAAAUAAUGUGAAUAAAAAAAGUUCAUCCAACUAUAGUUAAGUAGGAUCUUGUUGGAAAGUUUUUAUUGUCAAAAAUUCAAUGGUGCAAUCAGAAUUUAAUUUUGAUACUCGGUGUAAGAUAUAUAGUUUUUUAAGUCCAAACAAUUUUGCAUGUUGGAUGACAUCAGCAGUUUUGUCUCUCUUACAUGCAUGGACCCGCUCUUCCCACACACGAAGCUGUAGAAGGCUUCAUGUGGUGAAAUUGCAGCAUAUAGGGCCAGUUUGGUGGAGCUCCCACCGGCUUCGGCUCCACCUGACGCGGCAUUGUUCAUGUACUGUAGCUAUAUUGUUCACGGGAGCCAGUUUUCUCUCUCUCCUCCUCCCCCUCACAGACUGGCAAGGAGCCGGUGGAGCCACAAAUUUUGACUCCACCGACUUCCGCUCCUCUGACACCCCUACCACGCAUAGUGCAUGAGCCGGAGCUGGAUGGGCGGCACCGAACGAGCCUGAUAGUAUUCACUGUUCGCCAGUCGUGUCGUCAUUUUUUCGAGGGAGGCAUAACUCUUUAUUCAUCAAUAAAAUUAUAAGAGUUACAAAUAUCUUGAGGCAGAUUUAACAGCUAAACUUGCCUAUGGUGUGAGCAUCUAUAUUGGAGCGCUUAUUUUCAUAAACAAAAUCAACAAUACCAAACAGUGUUGCUGUAAUCUUUAUCUUCCUAAUAAUAUGGCCAUGAGCGACCAUUUCCUCUCUUAAUUCCUCUUAUUACAUCAAUAUUAUCUGAAGCUAGCAUGAAGUGUUAAACCAUAAGGUGUCGACGCCAGGCCUAACUACACGCAAUAGCCUCGACACACCUAAGAGUCCACGCUCCCAGAAAUUUCCAGCCGCGCCGUCGUGACUCACUGCCCGUCCGACACGGCGGGUUAGCGCGUGGACUGAACUGGGUUAUGCGUAUCGUGCGGGUUAGGUCCAAUCAAAUAACGCUAGGCCUCUACGCGCAUUGGGCUUUCAACACGCACCAGCUAUUGGCCCAUGUAUAUUUAAAUAUAUGUGGCCUGGAAGUGGAAGCGGGUUACUUAUUAAAUUUCCUCUAAAAAAAAUAGUCCUGCAUAGUAGACGGUGGAGAAUUCCGUUCUGGCAAACCAUAAAAUCAUUUCAUGUCACUUUAAAGAGCUAUAUGCUUUACGAAGGCCAAAACAUCAUUUGAAGUUCUAGCUCACAAGGAUACUGAAUCUUUCAAUUUUGUAAAAAAAUGGAUAUAUUUACAGAGUAAGUAAAGAAUUGAACCGACAUAUCCACCACACCUAGUCCAUUCCCUUGCAACGAACAAAUCAAACCAAACAUAAUCCAUUGCAGGAACCGCCAAAUGUGUACUCACAAAGUCUGGGACACCGAAGCGACUCUCGAGAUGACCGCGACGGCUCAUCUCCUCAGAAACAUAGGCGACGAAUUAGGAAACCCACCCACGAAUCCAUACAGUCCAAUCCCUAAAACCCAAAACCACCCAAAUUUUAUUCCUGAAUCCCCCGCAAUCUCACAAAGAUCCCAAUCCCCACAGAUUUCCAUUCAAAAGCCACAACGGUCAAGACCGAGUUGAAUAACUUAGGACCUGUUUGGCAGAGCUCCACGCAGCUCCAGAUCCUCAAAAAUAGCUCCACUCCCAAUUUUUCCAACCAAACGGUCUAGUUCCGUGAAAUCCAGAUCCGGAAAAAACCCAGAUCUAGCUCCCAGAUCCACCAAAUCCACGGAGCACCUCAAAACGCUAAUUUUAUAACCUCUCAUGGAAUUGGUGGAAAUUACCCACCAAUGUCAUCGAUUACACACCCCCGUACCGGUUCGCUUCAUUUUCUUUUUUCUUUCCGCCGCCGCUCCAUAUUUACCCGUCGCGCACGCUCAUGGGCCACUCCGCCGCCCCGGGGCUCGACUUCGCCGCCGCGCUGGACAGCGGGUUCCUCGACGUGCUCUGUGGCGGCGACGGCGACGGCGGCGCUGGCCUGUUCGGGCUGCCCGGGGUCGCGGCGGGGGCCGGCGGUGGCGGGUCCCUGAAGGGAUCCUCGGUGUCAGACCCGGCGUGGGCGCGCGCCAGGGACGGCGGCAAUGCCAGGAAGUGGAAGACGCCGCUAGCCGGUGCUGCCAGCGGGAAGGAGGCCUGCUUGGGCAAGGUGCGGGAAACGACCAACGCGGAGUGGAUUCUUCUGCCACGGACUUGUUUGGUUUUAGCUUUCUAGUUUGUCGAAUGCGUUGGUCUCAUUCUGAAUUUUGGUUUGUAGGCUGGGGAGGCCAAGGGGUCGGAUUUUGAUGGUAUGCAAAUUGUGCAUAAAUGAUUGGUGAUCAAUUGAAUUGCAUACUUUGGCGAUAAUCCAUUGACUAAGGACUGGAUAUGUUGAUGCAGGUCAGUUACAAGCUGAUCAGACAAAGGCUUGAUAUUUUUGUAUAGGGAGUAUCAAGACCUGUGGCAAAUGAAGCUCUCCUAAGCUGACCGUCAUUAGACUUUAGGCCUGUGAACUGAUCCAUUCCAUGGUAUGCUGGAUGUACGGAAACUCGAUUCUUCUCAUAGGGAUCAUAUGAUCUUGCAAGAUUAAAGUAGAUUAUGUAAUAGAUAUGGUGCAAAUAUUACAUGCGCCAUCUUCUAAAGCCUCUACUAAUAUGUAAGAACUCUGGCUGGUAUUAGAAGAAUACCUUGUACUGUCGCAUUUUAUUUAAGAUGAAAAAUCAACCUAUGAGAUGUUUCUCCUCGGCAUUUUACAAAGUUUAUUAUGCUCCAUACCUCCAUCAUCUUGUUGCUGCAACUUGCAACUGAGUUUGCUAUAUGUGUAUCCAGAGUUCAUCAUUGUGAAACUGCUCUUCAACUCAUCAGACUGAUCAAAUCCGUUCAACUUAUGAGGCGUAUAUCCUGUUAGUCUGCAGCUGUUAUAAAGGAAAACAAGAAACCCAUAGUACAAAAGUUGUUGGAGAAAUCAGAAAUGAGCAGGCAAUGAGGACCAGACCAAGUUGACAUUUUUUACCUGGCCGACGCAUUUCCCUCUCAAACAGCUCGCGAUCGCAGCUCGUCAUCUACUAGGGUAAAAAUCGCAAAUGGCUCCUGCCUGUUGUCACACCACGUGAAGAGAAAAAAAUGAGAAAAAAAUUGGGAAAACACCAAGGGCAUUAGUAGAUAAUCCAACCAAAAACUCUGUUUCUGGAUCUGGAGAUGUUGUCUCAGCCAAACACUUUUCCUUAGCUCCAUGGUGAGAGCAUAGAUCCACGCUAGAGCUGCUCUGUGGUGGAGCUACUAUUUUUGAGGAUUUGGACUACGUGGAGCUCUGCCAAACAAGCCCUUAGAUACACGCAUAAGGAUCCUAAGAGCUCUUUUGCAAUCCCUGAAGGCCAUAUUAGUACCCCCUUUGAUGAGUUCUACAAGGUCCCACCAGAUUCGGGUCCUACAAAUUUGUCAUCAGCUCAAUCUAUUGCUGAUAUUUAGAAGUUCUUCAAGAGAGGGAGUGUUGGUGUUUAAACCCAGCAACCUACCGAGGGAGGUGCCUGAGAGGGAGGUGCCUGAGGUAGUGUUUUGGUUAGUGGGGCUCGCCGAGAUCAGAAACUCGAAGGUAAACGCAGAUACAUGAUUUAAAAAGGUUCGGGCAAUUGAAUAGCGUAAUACCUACGUCCUGUGUGUUGGUUGGUUUGAAUUGCUUUGGAGGGGGUCCUUGCCUCGUCUUAUAUUGCCGGGGGCAGCGUUACAGGUCGGUUGGUUACAAGAAUACUAGUCGAAUUCGACUAGACGAGUUCUACUCUUAUUACUACGAGUACUUUUCUAAUCCCCGACUAGUUUCUGUCUUUCCAUGUAGACUAUGCCGUGCUGCGUCAUAAUCUCCAUGUCAGAUACGUCUCGGUAUUCAGUCCCAUAUCUAGGAUUGUCCAAACCUUCUGGUGGGCUCAUAGAUGUAUGUACGGCAGGGAGGAAGAUGUGGCCCAUAUUCUGAUCGUGUUUAAGGAAAAUUCAUCAUAAACGCAAUCUAUUACUGGUACUGAAGAAUUUUUUGUAAAGAGGGAGGAAUCUUUGGGUGAGAUGCUGGGCGAGGUAAAGGAAUUACAGGUAAUUAGAACCAGUAAUUUGAGGUAUGAAAGGGUCAGCCACAGUUCUGAUGAAAAAUCCUUCAAAAGGGGGAAGAUCAGUCUUAUCCCACUAGUAAUCUUUCCUACCCCAAACUACGCUAUUUUGCUUUCCAGGUUCUUGUGGAAUUGUUCAAUGGCGGAGAGAGAAGCUAGUCCCAAAAAUCUCAUGCUAAGUGACAAGUGUGUGAACCUUUCAGGAGGAGAUGAGGCUGUUGGUGAGAGGGUCUACCCAAGGCGCGCUAGAAAGGAGAUUGCAGAAUCAAGCAAUGCUGCUGAGAAGCGUGUCCUAGUUGUCCACAUGACCGGGGCAAGCUAGCCGGUUCUUGGCUGUCAGUUUCCUUCUGUCUGCUCUGCUAGUGAACUCAAGGAACCAGUUCGACCACAUGAAGAAGGUAUGGAAACUCCAUGAGGAGAUGGACGAGAGCCCAGUGAAGGCAGAAGUGGGCAAGAAAUUUAUCUUGGAAUUCUCAGUGAAAGAUGACUAUAAGCACGUCAUCAUGGGUGGACCAUGGCAGUACAAAGGUGAUGCUUUCUUAGUGGAAGGGAUAACAACAGGUACUGAUCCCUCUGUUGCCCUCUUUACCAAUGUGCCAAUGUGCCAAUGUGGGUGCAGUUCAGAAACAUUCCCUUUUAUCUUCUCACCAAGAAGCUGGCGCAUGAUCUUGGGGAGAGUUUAGGCACAACCAUGAUGAUUGAUAGCAGUGCAAGGGGUCCAAUCAAUAACAAGUUUCUCAGAACUAGGGUGCAACUCCCUUUGUUCAUGGCCUCUUAGAAGGAGAUCGUGCUAGUUGACGACAUCACAGUUGAGGAGUUUUGUGGUGGAUCCGGCCAAAUUAACUUAGCUAAAGCACAUUUAAGUCGCCUAACAUGCGAUCAUGUACUUUAAUCAAGUUAACUCGGUGGUCCAUCGGAUUUCAUCCGAUAAACCACUUAACACAGGAUCGAGAAAGUAGAGCUCACACGAAGGUGAGUGGUUUCAGAGAUUACAAUAGUCCAUCCAGAUUAAUUAAGUGCAUCAAAUUAUUACAACAUCAAGUUCGAAAUUCAAACAUAAAUUGCAGAGUUCAGGCAACAGAAAUAAAUAAGCGGAAGCUGACGUCGUUGCCGGACAUCAUGACGAAGCCGAUCAUGACAUCAAUGAUCCGAUCCUCACCGUCCGAGGAGGGAUCCCACUCGAACGUCCAACCAGGAGGAAGCUGGAGAGGCCAAGUGCCACUUGCCACAAGCUCAGAGGCAUCAACAUCACCUGAAAGAGAUAUGCCACAACAAGGCUGAACGACUACGCUCAACAAGACUUAACUGACCGGUGGUACUAAUCCACCAACACCUAGACAUGCAAGCUUUUUGGCUCUGGGGUUUGUUUUUGCCAAAAACGACUAGAGUAGGUCCUUAUUUUCAAUAUUUUAGCCACAAGUUCUAAGUUUAUUUACCUGUCUAAGUUAGCAACUAUACUAAACAAGCAUAGUUUCCAAAUAAUUUAUGACAAGCACUAAUAUUAAUAUCAUCAUCAAGUUCCAUUCUUACUCCGUGUAGCAUAGCGAUCAAGUAGUCCCAAACUGUGAGAGGCAGACGAAUCAAUUUGAAUUUCUUAACCAUGCAUGGCGAACCUAAUCCCACAACAUCCACGCACCGCGAAGGGUCGCUUCAUUUGUCAGCCAUCCCCAUCAAUUCCCAGACCCGUGUCGGGCCCACUUCCCUCGGUACAAGGCUCCAUAGACCCGGCCUCUGCCGUUCUAUGACCGCACUUGUCACCAUACGCGGCCGCAAGGGAACUCCGUUCCAGAGACAGUGGAACGAACCGCUCACGUCCUGGUUCAAUCAGGUACUAGGCUUCCCCAUCCCAUAUUAGGUAUGAGAUUAGUACUUUCGAACGCUUGAUCACGAACACUAUCACAUCUCGACCUUAGUCCAUAUUCACGUAGACAAAUGGGGUAAUCCACCGACCACCAAAAUAGUUCACAGAGCCCUGCCCCGUCCAUCGUCCUUAUAGUUGUAACAAAGGAAAGCAAACAACUCCUAUAACUCACGAGUGACAGGCAAUCACUUGACUUUUACCGAGUCCUAUUAAGCACUGCAACUACUUGACUUAACAUACUAGUGUUCAGAUCAAGGGUACUAUAUUCAUGCAUCUAUGAUUUCAAUCAACUCCUAGAACGUAAAUGUGCAAUCAAAGCAAUCAAUUGUAUUGCAAGAAUUUAAAGAUAGGAAAUGAUGCUCCGGGGCUUGCCUUCAAACGAGGAGGUAGCAAACGGGUCUUCGGCUUGCUCGGGCUCGGCUCCGACGGGCUGCAGCUCAGCUAUGGCUCCUUCUUCUAGCACCGGGUGAAGCUCGUAAGUCCCGUCAGCGAGGUUCAUCUCUACAUGAAAUGCAAUGCAUCAAGUUAACUUCCCAAACUUUUUCAUAGCAUGUAAGACACGAGUUAGUACUGAAGAAAAGUUAUAUUAGGGCCACAUUCACCUAAACAAGGUUUUACAACUUCUUUAUUCACAUAGGGAGGGUGGGAUGUGGUGCGAAGCUGGGGGUUGGUUUGAUGGCGAUUGUGUAUGUAUAUACAUCUCAACUUGAUUAAACUUUAGAUUGGAAAGUUAUCCUAUUUCUGAAUGUUCUUUUGUAUCUCUUCCAAUAUUACCUUUAUUAACUUAAGGUAGCGUAAACUUAAACAUUUUUAUAGCAGAAACCUCAAUGAAACUGGUCAUAAAAUUCUAACAGUGAGUUAUAGGGAUGAUACAAAGCCUUUGAUGAUUUUUUCACAAUUUUUAGCGAAGGGCAUCUUUUUCUACACAUUUACUCGAUUUAUUCUUCCCUAAAUAGGAAAGUGGUACCUCUUUUUAUUUCUGGUGGUUUCCAUAUUCUUACCACCAAUUACAUUACAUCACCGCCUUAUUCCAAAGGUUUCAUAUUUUUCUCAGUUCGGGUUUAAUUGUUAUGAAAAAAGGCAAAAACAAGCUUAGAUUCUAAUGGUAAAACUAAAACAGAGAUUUAAACAUCUGAGCUAAGCUCCAAAUCAUUUUUUCAAGCUUGUACUAUCUGAAACAAACACUUGAGAGUUGGAUUUAACUUUUUAUCAUAUUUCUAUGAUUUGUUACGAUUGAAAUAGCUUAAACAAGAAUUAAAACACAUAAUAUUAAUUCUAGCAGUGACAUGUGCCAAAAGUAUUUUUAUUAAAAACUACUAUUUAUACUGAGCCUAGCAAAAUUGGUUUGAUAUUUUUCUGAAUUUUCUACAAAUUUUGGUGAAUUUCCAAAGUUAAACAUAUAUUCUGCCGAUUUAAAAAGAUAAACCGUGCCAGACUUACGGUCUAGCCCCUAGGUCUAGGGUUUAAUCAUGCAAAGGUCCCUAGUUUUAACAAUAAGGCUCCUGUUCAACUUUUCGAAUUGCAAUUGGGUCCUCGACGGCGCACAGUGGCGGGCGGGCAAAAUCCCGGCGAUGGGCCGGCGGCCUUGGGACGGUGAGUGGCCGGGAGGGCUUACGGGCUCACCUUUUGCUGGUUUGAAGCGGUUGGGGGUGAUGGGGAUGCUCGGUCGGGGUGGAGCGACGCAAGGGCAGGGAGCUUUGGGUGGCGGCGAAGUCCGGCGGUGUUCCGACGGCGGCGGCGCUCUUCAUGGGCAACCGACAGGCUCUAGAGCUGCGCGAGGUGGAGGCGAAGUGGCUAGGGGUGUCGGCGAGGUGCAAGAUCGAGCAGAAGGGGGAGCUCCACGGAGAGGGUGUGCGGCGGAGCUGAGAGUGGAAGCAGGCGAGCGCGGUGAGGUUCGGGGGGCGAGCAGGGAAGGGGGCACCGGUGGCGCUGGGUUCCUAUUUAUAGGGCUAGGGCAGAGUGGCGAACGAGGUGGGGCCGUGGCUCUGGCGGGCGGGAUCGGAGGGAAGCCGGGGCACUGUUGCAGCCAUUAAUGGUGACGGCGCCAUUGGCGGACAGAGGAGGAGGAAGUGGCGCGGCAGGCGAGGGCACUGCAGGCGAGGUGGGUAGGCGCGGGCGGAGCGAGUGUGCGCGGGAGUGACGGCUUUGUCGGGGCGUCGGGUUGGCGAGGCUGGGUCCGAGGCGUCGCAGCCGGGGUGGUGGUUGGCGGAGGUGGCGGUGCUCUGGUAGGCGAGCGCGAGGGCGCGCGCUCGACAGCGGCGGGGCGUGCCCACGGGCGAGGCGAGGCGAGGCAACGGGCAGGGCGUCCGCGCGCUCGACGGGGCUGCCGGCGCGUCGACCCAGCUUGUCACGGCCGUGGAUGGGGCGACGGGGCGGCACCGGUGGGCUUGCGCCACGGGGUGGCCAACAUGCGGAGCGCGACGCACGCGCGCUCGGGCACGCCUGAUCCGCGAGAUCAUUUCGCCGGGCCGGUCUUCAAGCGCCUAGAUGUCCCGAUUCUUGAACCGCACAACAUUAACUCCCUUUACAAAAGUUGUAGUCCUCGUUCCAAAGUUCAACUUUAGUAAUUGAACUGAGUUCAAAUUCCUGGUAGAUUCGGAGAUAGAAGGGACCAAAGUUUGAAGGAACGCCGAUUUUUUGGACUUAGAGAAAAUCAGCCGGUUGGCUGUUUUCAAGGUGUUUGGCUGACUUGAGCUUCGAUUUUGAAAAGCUUCGGAGGAGAAUUGGACUAGAGUCCAAUUGACAAAGUUUUGUAUAAACUUAGUUCUCAAACUCUUAUAAAGGAUUUUUCUAAUUUUUGGUUCAACUUUUGGGAGACAAACUCAUGCCAAGAUGCAGGAUUGAUCUGAUUUCUAGACUUGGUCUAAAUUGCAAGUCUUGGGCUGAGGUAACCAAACUAGGUGAAUUUGACCAGGAUUUCGAAAGCCUUCUGUGCAGAUUUCGACCUUGCUUCUUUAACCAAAGUUGGUAAGGGCUUAAAGCUCUAAAACUUUUGUAUAGAGCUUAGCUUGAUUUUAUAUUAUAAAUUUCGAAAUACAGAGCCCCAAGGUUGGAACUUUAUCUGAUUUUCUUAAAAUUAACACAGAUUUGUACUUUGAGUUUUUGAAGGGCUUCUGCUUAGAUUCAAGCAAAACACCAAAAAUAAAAGUUGUCAGUAAAGGUGAGUUCUGCAACUCUUAGUUGGACAGAUUUUUAUGUUCUUAAGCAAAAAUUUAAGUUACUAUCUAAACAGCGGUUUAUCUUGUGAGGGAAAAAGUGUCCUUUCACCUGCCUUCACUAUUGUCAAAGUUCUCCUUUAUGUACUAAUGACUUUGUUUAAGAUUUAAACAUGGCUUAAUUAAGCUAGGUUGUUACAAGUUUGUUGUCCAAGUUCGAUAUGAAAGGCUACCAAAUUUCUGCUAGUUCCAUGGGUACAUAGGGCAUAUGGAGGAUAUACGUGAUUUGCCGGCUAGAGAAAGAAAAAUCAAUUUUUGUUUGGAUCUUCAUGUCCGUCCAGUCCACUUUGAUGAUCCACACUGCUGGAAUCUUUCGGAUUGUAUGGGACAGCCUCACAGAGCUCUUCUUCCAUGCUCUGGCAUGCUCCUAAACCGACAACGCUAGGCCUUCCGGCAGCCAUUGCUCAAGCUCCAACCACAUGAAACAAGAAGGCUGUCGAUCUAGUGGAAAAGGUGGCUCAGCUAACAGUUGCAGAUAAUCAGCAGCCUAAAAAUAAUGAUAGGCUGGAAAAUAGGACUGGAGCUAAAACUAGGGUUGUUGCUAAAGAAGGACAUGGGGCCAUGCCAAUAGGGGUGCGUGGUGUUGAUGCUGUAGAAAAAGAUGAUGGGAAACAUAUUUCAGGUAACAAACAAGGGAAGGAAACUACUAAGGCAAUCAAUUCUCUGAACUCACUCUCAACCGCAGGAUCCACUUGUGAAAUUAAAGUGAAGGGUUGGAAGAGAAGAGAAAAAAAUGUAUCUGAAGUGCAGAGCAACACUAGUGCCAAUUUGCUGGGGGCAGGAAUAGUGCGACCUCGCAUAGAAGUACAAGAUGAAGGUGAUGUUAUGGAACCAAAAGCAAAAAAGGGUCUUUCGGGGUCCCAUACUCUCUGAAUGUUUGGGAAAGGAAGGCCUGGCUGAACUAAGGGCUGCUGAACAGAAUGAGGUAUUGGCUAUUGAUGGGCAUGACACAGAUGUUGAGUCGAAGAACAUGGGCAAAGCUUCAAUGGAAGGUAAAGGUGGUAUGGCAGCGACCGGUCCUAGGGCUACCGGAAAUCUUUCGGGCGCUAAUGAUAUUGCCUUGCAAGAGCCAUGAGUUUCUUGGGAAUGAACUGCUCGGUUAGUUCAGAAAGAUGUCUAGCUUAUCUAAAUACAAGGUCCCAGCUUAUCACUCCUCGCAAUAAGGCAUUAUAAUGUUGUAAAAGCUUAUAUGUGUGUGUGUCUGAGUUUCAGUACCUACUUGCUUGUUGGUGUACUCUUGUUUUUUCUCAACAACCACCUAUCUGCUGCAUCUUUUGUAAUGCCGUAUGAAAUAAAAGGAAGGAGAGUCUUUGGUUAUGUUGCCUCUUGUCCUCUAUUAUAUAUGGUGUGUACCUUUUUAAAGAUUUUUUUGCCUUGUCCGAUAAUGAGAACAUGGGGGAGGCUUUUAAGGAAGGAGCUGCACAUUCUAGAGAAUUUAAACAAUGUGUGUUAACAGGGUCUUUGUGGUGUUGUCUGCUGAAAAUGUCAACGUUACAUCUGGAAUGUUUGUGGAUGCAGUUGUGUAUGUGGUGGGAUCUUGUUACUUGUCACAUGAUGUAAAUAAAGUAUGUGCCCUAACUUUCAAAGAUCUUUGUUGCCAGUUUGCAGGGGGUCAGGCAACACGCGCUUGGAAGCCUGUAAAAAAAUAGAAGGAUCGAGCUCUUGAGAGAGCAAGGGUGGUGGAGGUAGAUGUGACCAUUGGUGCACAUGUUGGCGCGGGGCUGUCGGAAUAGCCCUGCGAGAACCAAUGAAGAUAAUUGCGUGGAACUGCCGGGGGUUGGGAAAUGGCCCGACAGUUCUUGGCCUUCUGAAUCUUUAGAAGGAGGAGGACCCCGACAUUCUUUUUCUAUCUGAAACAAAAAUGGAUAGAAACAUAAUAGAAUUUUUUCAUUGGAAGCUUGGCAUGACAAAUAUGGUGGUUAAAGAUUGUAAGGGGAGAAGUAGUGAUCUUGCAAUUUUUUUUGGAAAAAAAGAGAUUAAUUUGCAUCUCUGUGCAGUGUCUCGAUUGUAUAUUGAUGCGGAUGUGUCAGAAAAGGAUGGCUUUGUUAGGAGGUUCACUGGUUUCUACAGUGAACCAAAGUCAGAUAAGAAGGAUCUAUCAUGGAAAACUAUGCGUACACUGAAUGCGGCAAGGAGAAGACCGUGGCUAUGUAUAGGUGAUUUUAAUGAAAUUUUACUAAGUUGCAAAAAGGAGGGAGGUGCCUUGUUGGUGUUUAGACCCCGCAACCUACCGAGGGGGGGGUGCUCGAGGUAAUGUUUAGUGCGUGGGGCUCACCGAGAUCACAAACUCGAAGGUGACCUCUGUAGAUGGGCGACAGAGGAGUUCCCUCCUGGUACGGGAGGGUAUCAAGGUAGGCAACAAGGCAUGACUCGUCAUUCUUUGCGAGAGCAAGACGUUUCAUGUUGGGCAAGUAGACGAAUCUGCCUUGUGGAGUUGAAGUAAUCACCAGGCCCCGUUGUGGACCCGAUAAAGGAGUCUCCUCGUCUGGAUCCGAGUAGUAGUCGGGGUCCUCGAUCAUAUCCGAGUUGGAUUGUGAUCUGAACAGGGUAGCUUGGUAGACAACUGUGGCGGAACCGCCCAAAUUAACCUCACUAAAAUGCAUUGAAGUCGCCUGACACGCGAUUAUGCACUUUAAGCAAGUCAACUUGGUCGACCGUCGGAUCUCCUCCGAUAAACCACAUAACAGGAUCGAGAAGCAUCGCUCACGCGAAGGUGAGUAGCACAGAGGUUGCAACAUUUCAUUAUGACAACAAGUUCCACAUUUUAUUAUAUCAGAGUUUUCAAAAUUUAAACCGAAAUUUGCAAGGUUCGAAGUCAAAUAAAACUAGCGGAAGCUAAACGUUGAUACAUGACAUCAUGACGGAGCCGAUCAUGACAUCAAAAACUCCUUCCUUCGCCGUCCGAGGAAGGAUCCCACUCGACGGUCCAGCCUGGAGGAAGCUGGAUCGGCCAAGUGGUACCAACACCCAAGCUAUUAACAUUACCUGAAAAAGAUUAGCCACAACAAGGCUGAGCAACUAGUACUCAGCAAGACUGACCCGUCGGAAAGACACGACCGAGACUUAGAUAUGCAAGGCUUUCUGGCUCUGGGGUUUUCUUUGCCAAAAGCGUCUAAAGUUAGUCCUUACUUUCAACAUUUUAGCUCAUGUUCUAUGUUCUUUAUCCAUUCUAGAUUAGCAACUUAUACUAAACAAUAUGGUUUCCAAGCAAUUACUGAACAAGCAUCAAGAUUUAAACUCGUCAUCAUGUUCCAUCUUUACUCAGUGCAGAAUAGCGAUCAAGUAGUCCCAAUCUGUGAGAGGCAGAUGAAUCGAUUCAAAUUUAUUAACCAUGCAUGGCAAACCUAAUCUCACGACAUCCGCGCACCACGAAGGGUCGCUUCAUUUGUCAGCCGUCCCCAUCGAUCCCUUAGGCACGUGUCAGGGCCAACUUCCUUUGGCAUGCAAGGCUCCACAGUCCCGGCCUAUUGCUGCACUGUGACCGCACUUGCACCCACAUGAUGCACCAUGGGAACGACGUUCCAAGGACAGCCGGAAGGUAUGCCACGCCCCAGUUCAAUCAGGUACUAGGCUUCCCCAUCCCAUACUAGGUAUGAGAUUAGUACUUUCAAACACUUGAUCACGAACGCCGACACGUUUCGACCUUAGUUCAUUUUCAUUUAGACAGACGGGGCAAUCCACCAAGUAUCGAACACAAGCCUGACCCCAUCCGUCGUCCUUAUAGUUGCGACAAUUCUGAAACAUUCAACUCCUAUAACUCGCGAGUGACAGGAAAUCACUCGACUUUUACCGAAACCUAUUAAGCAUUGCACUACUCGACCUUAGCAACUAGGAUUCAGACAAGGUACUAAGUUUAUGCAUCUAAGGUUUCAUUACAACUCCUCGAAACGUAAAUGCGCAAUCAAGUAAACAAUAAUAUUGCAUGAACUCAAGAUAGGAAUUUAUGCUCCGGGGCUUGCCUUCAGGAAAAGCUUGCGGGUCCUCGGGGUCUUGCUCCGGUUCGGGCUCUCCUUCGAAGGGGUGCAGUUCCUCGGCGGGGUCUUCUUCCGGCGCCGGGUGAAGCUCGUACGUUCCGUCGGCGAGAUUCAACUCUACACGGAAAUGCAAUGCAGGGGUUAAACAUUUUAGAUGGUUAUUUCAACACACUCAUGUUUCAACACGGACACUUGUAGCAAAGCUACAGGAAAGGUGGGGGAGUUCAACUUCUGUUGGUGGAGAGCAGGAUGAGAGGGUCGGAUUGGGGAAAACUUAGGGUCUGUCCCUCAGGUUUAAGGAAAACCGUACAGAGGUCCUCAGACUCAACACAGAGGAAUCCCCGAAAAUAUUUCACCGAUACCCUCGAGUCAAAGAGAAAGUUACAACCGAGCCCUCGAGCGAGGCGGAGAAAGGGUUGGCGAACUUGGCAGGGUCGGGCGAGGCGAACGGGAAAAGGUCGGGCGAGACGAAAAGAAAAGGGGUCGGGCGAACCGAAACAAAGGGUCGGGCGGAACGAAAAAGGACAGGGGUCGGGCGAGACGGAAAGACAGGGAGGCUAAGUAGCUUACCUCCAGGUCUACCAGUGAAGCCUUGGGGCCGAACAGGAGCAGGCUGGGGCGGAAAGGGGAGCUUUCUCAAAAGGGUGGCGGCGAAAUUGCCGGAGUGUGAGGGUGGCACAAGGGGGUGAGCUCCACGGAAGCUCAGCGGCGGCGCGGGGAGAAAGUGGUGGCUCAGAGGAGAAAGCAGGGUGUAGAGGAGAAAGCGGCUGUGGCAAAGGGGUGGCAUUGCCGGUGAGGGGGUUCCCUUUUAUAGGGCCGGGGUGGUGCGGAGGGUCGAGGCGGGGCUCCGGUGGGGAAAGGAUAAGGCCGGGAGCGGCGAGUACUCGGGCGAGGCGGCCAUUGGCCGACGACGCCAUUGGGCAGAGUAGGCGGAGCUCCGGGUGGUCUUCGGCGGCGAUUGGCCUUGGGCGGCGCGCGUCUGGGGCUUCCGAUCUGUCGGGCGGGCGAGGCGGAAAGGCUACCGUGGGGGUUGGGUGAGCGGGCGGAGGCGCAGGACGUCGGGGGCGUCUCAGCUUUCUCGGCGAACGGGCGGAACAGGGUUGGCGGAGCAGAGCCGUGGCAGGCGGAAGGCGACCUGCGCGCGGCCGGCGAUUGGCUAGCCCUGCGCUCGCUCCGUCCUGUCGCGGGCGCGGGUUGGGCGCCGUGGCUCUCGUUCUGUCGCUGUCGCGCUGGUGAUAGGGCGCCGGCGAGCUGCCGGUGGCCGGCGGCCACGCGGCGCGCGAGCGAACAUGCUCGGGCGCGCAGGCGUCGAGGCUCCCUUCGGGCAGCAAGCCCGACCAGCUUUGGAGCGAUCCUUCUCUGAAUCUUUCAACACAGCUCCCGAAACUCCCUUAAACAAACUUGUUCAACUCUGGCCGUUCUUCAAACUUUGUUUAAGGUGUCGGUUUUGAUCGUGAGAGGAUUCGAAGAUAUUUUACGCCAAAGUUAGCCAAAAAUCUGGAAUUCCAGACUUAGGAUUUUCAAGGCACCAGGGUGAGUUGACUGGUUUACCUCACUUUGACUGGGAUUUUGAACAAGUUCGGGUCCGAUUUGGAUCUGGGUCAGUGUAACAAAGUUGGAAUACUUUUGAGGUACUACAACUUCUAUUAAGGCUCUGACUCGAGUUUAGAUAGGAAAACGGGAGAUGAAAGCUUGCAAGGAUGGAGGAAAAACUCGAAUUCCAGGACUUAAGAGAUUUUCAGGGUCCUUUUAGGAAAAUCGGCUUUGGUUGCGGUUUUUGACUUCCUUUCACUCCGAAAUGGUCAAAGUGCCUUUAACAAAAGUUGUUGGGAUUUAAAAGUUUUACGAGUCUUAUUUGGGCAGAAACUUAAGUUUGUAUACAGAAUUUCAAGCUUUAAAUUCGAACUCCAAAAAGAGCUUCUUAGGUUUAUAAUGGUCAUUUCACUUCUUAACUUAGGGAUUUGAUUUGUCACUGGUUUAGAGUUAAAAGCACUUAAUCUAGGUAGAGUUGUUACAACAACACCUGUGUUUCAAAGUCCGAACGGGAAUCGACUUGGAUCGUAGACCGAUUCGCACGAUGGCUUAAGUGCCAGCUCAUGGGAACCAAUCCGACUAGCGGGAGAAGUCGAGUUGUACUCGGACUCGUCCCCCCAUCCUCUGACUAGGUCAGAAAUUGAAAAUUUGCCAAAUUUUUCGACGAGAUCCUCCAGAGCUUGUCGCUGGAGGUUGAUGGCGUGCUGCUUCUUCUCUAGGGCCAGCGCGAUAUGGCGGUGGAAGUUUCCAGCACUGUCUGCGAUGCUAACUCAGGAGCCGAAGAUGAACGUCGCGCCCGCUUCGAACGCGACGGUUGGCUUGAUGAUGAAUUGGGCCAUCGAGUUCGCCGGCGGAUUCUCAACGACCACCCCUACCUGGCGCGCCAGCUGUUGAUGUUUAGAUCCAGCAACCUAUCGAGAGGGUGCCCGAGGUAGUGUUUAAUGCGUGGGGCUCGCCGAGAUCAGAAACUCGAAGGUGAACUCGAACACACGAUUUAGACAAGUUCGGGCCGCUAGAUUUCGUAAUACCCUAUGUCCUGUGUGUUGGUUGUAUUGAAUUUCUUUGGAGGGGUCCCUACCUCGCCUUAGAUUGCUGGGGGUAGGGUUACAUGUCAGUUGAUUACAAGAAUACUAGUCGGAUUCGACUAGUGAGUCCUACUCUAAUUGCUACGAGUAGUUUCCUAAUCCUCGACUAGUUCCUAUCUUGCCGCGUAGACCACGUUGUCCAGCACCGUAGUCUCCAUGUCUGACACGUCUCGGUGUCUAGCCUUGUAUCUUAGACUGUUCAAACCUUCUGGUGGGCCCAUAGAUAUAUGUACGACAUGCACCAUGGGCACAAGGCUGCAUGGACCAUUUCAGAGAAGCCCUAGAGGAGUGUUUCCUGACUGAUCUAGGAUUUGUAGGGGAUCCAUACACUUGGAGGAACAAUAAUCAUAACAGUGAUGGCUACAUACGAGAGAGGCUGGAUCGUGCAGUUCCGGAUAGAGCAUGGUGUGCUAGGUUUUUGAGCUUCCGUGUGAUCAAUGGUGAACCUAGACACUCUGACCAUAGGCCUGUUAUGAUGAUCACAGAAGAGGAGGAUGCAAGUAACAGAAACCCACUUGCUCCACGUUUUCGCUUCGAAGCUAGCUGGACAAAGGUGGAUAAUUGUGCAGCAAUUGUUGAGAAUGCAUGGAAACUCACUAUGAAUGCAAGGAAUGGUAAAGUGCAUGAUGCUCUUAGAGAGGUUGCUACAAACCUUUCGGAUUGGAGCAGGAAUAUAUUUGGGUAAUCUUGAGAAAAGAAUCAAACGAGCUCGACGUGCUCUGGAGGAGUGUCGGAAGAGCUCUCUAAAUGCACAAAAUGUACCCAGGGAGGAAAUUCUAAAAUAUAAAUUGGAGAAAUUGGAGGAGCAAAUAGAACUCUAUUGGAAACAACGUGCACAUGCCCAUUGGUUAGAAAAGGGAGAUUGUAAUACAAAGUAUUUUCAACAAUACGCAUCGGAAAGAAAGAAGAGGAACAAAAUUAAAAGGUUAGUGAAGGAGGAUGGGAGCUUCAAGGCAGAGAUGACAGGGAUGUUCACUUAUAUCACUGAUCAUUAUAAAAAUCUUUUUGAAUCCCAUGCAGUCGAUAGAAUUGAUGACCUGCUACAACAAGUUAAUCCAAAGUAUCGCAAGAGAUGAAUGAUAUGCUGCUAAAAGAGUUCAGCAAUGAUGAAAUUAAACAAGUUUUGGACAGUAUUGGUGAUCUGAAGGCACCUAGAGCUGAUGCCAUGCCAGCCUUGUUUUACAAACAAUAUUGGGAUAUCAUUGGGGAUGACAUUACAAAGGAGGUGAAAAAAAUUUUACGGGGGAGAAAUGCCAUGUGGAUGGAAUGACACUAUUGUUGUGCUAAUACCAAAAGUGGAAAACUCGAAAAAGGUUAAAGACCUGAGGCCUAUCGGUCUGUGCAAUGCGGUGUACAAAAUUGCAUCAAAGGUAAUUUCAAAUCGACUGAAAAUGAUCUUGUCCGAGGUUAUCUCCCUAAACUAGAGUGCCUUUGUGCCUGGCCAGCUCAUAACAGAUAAUGUACUUUUAGCUUAUGAAUUUACUCACUUCCUACAAACAAAAAGAUCUGGUGUAGAUGGUUAUGCAGAAGUGAAAUUAGACAUGAAUAAAGCAUAUGGCCGAGUGGAAUGGUCUUUUUUGGAAAAAAAAUGACGAUGAAAUUGGGUUUUGCAAGAAGAUGGGUGGAUAUUAUAAUGAGAUGUAUUUCUACAGUUUCUUACCGCAUCAUCAUAAAUGGUUAGCUUACUAAGGAAAUUUCACCAAAACGUUGUUUGAGACAAGGUGACCUCUAUCUCCUUAUUUAUUCCUAAUUUGUGCUGAGGGUUUUUCUGCCUUGUUGAAUGCAGCUAAAGCUAAUUGUUUCUUAACUGGUAUAAGGGUUUGUUAAGAGCCACCGAGCAUCAACCACCUUCUGUUUGCAGAUGACUCACUGCUACUUCUGAAAACUGAUGAUCAAAGUGCACAUCAUCUGCAAAAUAUUCUCACCUUGUAUGAGGAUUGCUCAGGGCAAACUAUCAACAAAGAUAAAUCAUUGGUGAUGUUUAGCAAGAAUACUAAGGCAACUGACAAGCUUUAGUUAAUGGCAGUCCUGGGCAUUGCAACAGAGGCAAGAAAUGAUAAGUAUUUGGAUCUUCCAGUUUAUAUGGAAAAGCAAUAGCAAAAACUUUUGCAUAUUUGAAAGAAAGGGUCCAGCAAAGAAUUCAAGGCUGGAAGGAAAAGCUGCUUUUAAAAGCUGGCAAAGAGAUCCUAAUCAAGGCCAUAGCGCAGGCGAUCCCCACAUACACAACGUCCUAUUUUGACCUCACCAAAACCUUACGUGAUGAAAUCAGUAUGAUGAUUUGUAGAUAUUGGUGGGCACAACAAGAUAAAGAAAAUAAGAUGCAUUGGUUGUCCCGGGAUUUUGUAUCAAGGAAAAAAGAAAGGGGGUUUGGGAUAUAGAGAUCUCCACCUUUUUAAUUUGGCAAUGUUAGCAAGGGAAGCAUGGAGAUUACUGAUGAAUCCCAUAUUCUUUAUGUGCCCAGGUCCCGCGAGCAAAGUAUUUUGAGAAUGGCAAAUCACUUGACGUGACAGAAGCUCAAGGCAUCUCAUACUCCUGGAGAAGCAUUGUUCGCGGCAUACAAGCACUAAAGGAAGGCUUAAUUUGGAGGGUUAGUGAUGGAUCACAAAUAAAUAUUUGGUUAGAUCCUUGGUACCGACAGGUGUGAUGAGAAGGCCAAUCACUCCUCGAGGGCAUAACAUCUUGGCAAAGGUUUCAAAACUUAUUGAUCCAUUAACAGGGGACUAGGAUAAAAUUCUAAUCAAAGAUGUGUUCUGGGAAGAGGAUGUGAAGCAUAUCCUUGCAACCCAAGUAAAUAAUAAUAUGGAGGAUUUUCUUGCAUGGCACUAUGACUCAAAAGGGCUAUUUUCAGUAAAAUCGAUGUAUCACACUUUGGAGGAGAAGCGGGAGCGGCAGGCCACAAGACAGAGAGGUGAGUCAUCGUCACCUUCGGCAACUGCAAAUCAGAUAGAGUGGGGAAGAAUAUGGAAAAUGGAAUGUCCUCACAAGAUCAAACAUUUUUUAUGGCACCUAACGCAUAAUAGUCUGCCUCUGCGGAUGAAUAUUAAAAGAAGAGGCAUUGAUGAUGUUGACACCCGCUGUCCAGUGUGUUUGAGGAUGGAUGAAGAUGGUAGCCAUUGUUUUUUUUUAAAUGCAAAUUCGUGCGCAAAUGUUGGCAGAUGAUGAACCUAGAAGGUGUGAUGCUGAAAUUAGUAGACAUAAAAGAUGCCAAGGAGGUAACAAAUUGUAUCCUAUCUAUGGAGGACGAAAACAAAUAUGAGAUCAUGAUCCUAAUGCGGUUAUGGUGAGAUCCAAGAAACAAAGUUAAUGCUGGUGAACAAAGAAGAAUAGUGGAAGAAGUAGUGCACCAAGCAAGAAACAAGACAUAGGAGGUUUGUACUAUGCUAAACAAAAUAGUUGAGAAGCAUCAUAAAAAAGUGCAGAGAUGAAAUCCACCUCUGGAGGAAGUUCUCAAAGUUAACAUUGAUGAAGCUUUCCUCAUGGAGCAAAAAUCGGGAGGAUGGGGCUUCAUUGUUAGAGAUGUUGAUGGCAAUGCAGUAAUGGCGAGAGCAAGGGGAUUAGAAUCAAUUCAUGAUUCUUUUUGUGCAAAGGCUCAAGCUUGCCUUAAGCUCUAACGGCCAUCUCAGCUCAAGGUAUGACGAGAAUUCAGUUGGAAAGCGAUUCUUCAAACCUAUUCACCGCUUUGGAGUCAAGGGUUUGAUCAAUACGUUGCUUAUGGAGGCACGUCAAUUUAUUCAACUAGAUUUUGUGUCUGUUGAAAUUUCUUUUACCCCACGAUCUUCUAAUCUGUGUGCAGAUGAAUUAGCUCAUUCUAGUCUGAGUUGGGAUCCGGAUCAGUCAUGUGUUUGACUUGAUCCCCCGGAUUUUCUAAAGUUUUUAGCAGUUCGUGAUUGUACUGAACCUCGGACAGAUGAAUAAAUAAAGAGAGAAUUUCUUAUUUGACACUAGAAAAAGUAUUCCUUCCUUUCAUGGCCCUCAGAAAAUUUUCGUUCCCUAUUUGAUACCGAGUUCAACUUUCAUUCCUUAUAUAACACUCUGUUGGAUUUUCCAUCCGUGAACCGUUAAAUGCCCUGUGAAAAGACGACCUGUGAGCCCUACCACCCUUCUCCCUCCUUUCCUCUCCUUCUCCCUCUGCUCUACACCGGCUUGCCGGCUGUCGUGCCCCCGCGGGAGGUCGAGCCCCGUCAGCCACCAGGCCCCUUGGGAGGCCGCGCGCCGCCGGCCGCCGUGCCCCGCGGGAGGCUAAGCCCUGCACUGCGCCUUGUGCACGCGCUUCUAGUCCAGCGCCUGGCACGCGUGGGACCAGUAGUUGGCGGCGCCGCACACAGAGCACCGCUGGAACUCGUGCCGCCAGGUGUCGCGCCGCCCGCACCGGACGUGCGAGCAUAGCCGGAGCUUCGCGCCGUCGCCCGUGCCAGCGCCAGGCUUCUUCGCGGCCGCCACCUGGGCACCGUGGGAGGCCCACCAGUUGACCAUGAACUGGUUCGCCACGUGGGGCUCCGCCUCAGGGAUGCUCCAACCGAAGUCCAAGAGGAGCGAGCAGCUGCCGGCGCCCACGGCCGUUGCUGCCGCGGCACCGAGCAGGACCGUGGCGGUGAAGGGGUGGCGCGAUGCGGCGGCCACAGCAAGCGCGAGCGCUGGCGGCCACCAGGAGGCGUCGGCCCUCGGCGGGGUCGCGCCGCACUUCGUAGUCAUCCUGGAAGCGCGCGCACAAGGCGCAGUGCGGGGCUCAGCCUCUCGCGGGGCACGACGGCCUCCCAAAGGGCCCGGUGGCUGACGGGGCUCGACCUCCCGUGGGGGCACGGCAGCCGGCAGGCCGGUGUGGAGCAGAGGGAGAAAGAGAGUUGAGGAGGGCGAAGGGUGGUGGGGCUCACAGGAGCAAAAUCGUCUUAACGGUUUAUGGAUGGAAAAUCCAUCAGUAUUAUAUGAGGAAUGAAAGUUGAACUCGGUGUCAGCUAGGGAAAAAAAAUUUAGAGCCACGAAACAGGUAAUUUUUCUAGUCUUUCUCUCGUAAAUAAAAAAAUAUUUUCAGAAAAAAAAACACAGUCCAUUGCAUUCAGCAACCCGUACAGUUUCCUAUCCUAUCACUACAAGCAAUCAAUCCAUCUCUCAAAAAAAAAAAGCAAUCAAUCCUCCUCCGACGAGGACGUCGACGAAGACGAGAAGGACGACGAGGACGAGGAGACCGAGAGCGACCUCCGGUAGCGAUAGCGGUAGCGGUGGUACAGCGCCGCGUCGGGCGCCCGCGCCACCCACCCGCCGCCGCGGCCGGACCCCGGCACGUAGUACUCCGGCAGCGGCAGGCAGAAGAAGGCGAAGAGGGAGUCCCCCAGGCGCCCGAGCUCCCGCGCGGGCGGCACGAGCAGCGCGCGCAGGACCUCGUCCGCGCGCACCCGGCGACGCCCCGGGGGCUGGCACAGCUCCGCCGGCGCGCGCGCCGCCGCUGCCAGGAGCGCGGCGCUGAACACCAUGAACCCCUUUGGUUCUGUCCCUCGCGCCCCCGGCUGGUCGGAUGUUUCGGAUUGGUUUUUUCCGUCGCGUUGUCGCGUGUGGUGUGUGAUUUGGGCGCGGGUUUUUAUUAAUUUUGGUGGCGUGGAGUGCGCGGGUGGAACCGUGGAAGGAAGCGCGCGGGAAGUUUUUACGGCCGCGGCCGUGGGGGGUGCCGUGCGGCGAGGAAACACAAGGGCCAGGACCCAGGACUCCAGGAGCCCUACCGGUCGUCGCUCCCGCCGCCGCGCGGGCUGGCCGCUUUGGUCGUUUUCCCGUGCGACGUGUGCAGCGCCUCCCAAAUUGUAAGUUAUUUUAAUUUUUUAAUUCAAAAUAUCUUAAGUUUGAUCAAAUUUAUAUAAUAAAAUACUAAUAUUUAUGAUACCAAGUAAGUACUAUUUAAUUCUUCAUUAAAUAUAUUUUCAUAGUAUAUCUGUUCGGUACCAUAAAUUUGUAUAAUUCUCUCUAUACUUUUGAUCAAGCAUAAAAUAGUUUGAACCUCCAAGAAAUUUAGAAUGACCUGCAAUUUGGAACGGAGGAACAAUUUAGAAUGGAGCGACAAUUUAAAAUGGAGGGAGUAGCAUGUGACAGACGGUAAAUUUGUAUAAUUCUCUUUAUACUUUUGAUCAAGCAUAAAAUAGUUUGAACCUCCAAGAAAUUUAGAAUGAUCUGCAAUUUGAAACGGAGGAACAAUUUAGAAUGGAGGAAGUAGCAUGUGACAGACGGCAGAAUGGAGUCCUGGCAGCCUGCCACAUACAACACGCGGAUGUUUCAGUUUCAUCGUGCAGAUACUGAAAUCCUCGCACGGUGUCCAGCUCGGCACUGCAGAACACCGAGUAUCGGAAGAUAACUUCUCUUAGCAUUAGUUGCACCUUCCCCGACAAUAAUUGCCACAUCCAUACUACCCAAGUGGCUAUCAGCAUUGCAUUACACGUAAACUACUCAAGUCAAAAGAGAUUAGGAACAAUAUAGGCUCAUCUGAAUGCCAUUGCACAGAACUAGUGCCAGAGGAAGUAAUCAAAAGAGAUUAGGAACAAUCUAGGCUCAUCUGAAUGCCAUUGCACAGAAUGACAGAACUUGUGCCAGAGGGAAGUAACGAAAGAAAAUAAGAUGGCAUUGGAAUCAAUCUACAUAAGACAUAACUAUGGGAACACCACUGCCAGCGCCUUUGACUUAUUCUGUGCUAGCCUUAUAUAAAUCUUCCCCAAAGAUUGCUUCACGGAUUCAGCUACUCGUGCAGGAAGCCUUUCUCCUCAAGGUAAGUAACCACCUGCCCCGCCAUGUCACAAAGUGGGGGGCAUACACCGUCCACUUCCUUGAUCUCAAUCUGCAAGAAAACCAAGAAAGUCAAACAAUUGUAGUUGUUGACCACAAACAAACAAUAGGAACUUGAUGUCAACAUAGAAAAGAAUCAAAUCUGGUUUCCUUCUAAUACCAGGAUGAACAAUUUUUCAAUUUGAUGCUUCUAGAACACCUUAUAGUAAAAAUCAUUUUUAUGCUUUCGACUUGUGUUGGGGAGUAGACACGAUAAUAACCUUAACAUCUAACAUUUCCUAGACACAACUGUCCUAUAAUAACAAACUACAUAGCCCGUUGCACCUACACAGUUGAUUUAUUUUGCAUAAAAGGAAAUGAUGAACAUGCACUUCUCUUCCUAAUCCAAUCAAUUUCCUAUGACAUUCAAUCUUCAUAGUUUCAGUAAGGCAACCAAUUUGAUAUGGACCAGAAGGAACAACUACAUUAAUGCCUUAAUAAUACACACUUCAACAUGUGAAGAAUGGCAAGAAAUCUGAACCAUUGUGUACCUCGCAAUUCAGGGGAGCUUCGUAGGGGUCAUCGAUUCCAGUAAAACCUGCAGUAAACCAUGAUUAAGCAAUAACAAACUCUAUACGAGUUAACAAAACAGGUUAAAUAGAAUGUCAUGAAGACAGUUGACAUAAUAAAUGGUGAACUAGAACCAGCAAAAUAAAGAUAAGUCUGCACAUAAACAAAGUUGCAGUGAAAACAUAGAUUCUUAAGCUUACAGAAGACAAGGCUUACUCAUUUUCCUUUUUUUUCCAUUUCUCAACUAGAGAACUCCUCCUAAACUUACAAAUGGACAUAUAGACACCUGAAAAGAAAACCUUUAGAGGCUGGGGCCCUAGCAUGCCCUGACGGUUGACCUAUAACUCCACGGUCCAGGUCAGGGACUAGAAUCCACUCCCAAAAUAAAACAGCUCAACUGAUUUUGGUUCAGCAUUUAGAAAUACGCAACAUGACCCAUGUGCAGCCAAAUGUGAAAUAACAGCAUAGUGGUAGAAUAUAACCUAAAAAGAAUGCUUAAACACAUGCUAGGUGUACCAUCGCUACACAGUGUGACCAAGGAAUCAAAUGGAAGAAUCUAAACACUGUAGAUGGUAAAAUAAAAUAUCCAUCCUCGCAGUAUAUGCAACAUCUAAAUUUGUGCUUUGUUGUGAAAUCAUAUUGUUAUUAAGGUGCUGCUUUCUCAAAACAAGCAUAAUUUGACUCGAGUAGUAUUUUUAAUUCUUCAAAUCAGGCUGUGCUUCUAACCUUACAAACAAGCCAGAAAUGUGAUUUAUAAUGUAAAGCAUUAAGUAUGAUCAAAUUUUGCUCAGCAGGACAUGCUAAAUUGAAGCAUUAAACUCUCCAAAUUAUUUCCAUUCUGGACACCAAGCAUUAUAUGAACCUCACCCUUUAUUUUUCCUGCACGAGCAAGCUUAUAAAGACCCUUUGAAUCCCUUGCUUCACACAAUUCCAAGGACAUGUUCAAGAAAACCUGCAAAAGUUCACAGGUGUUUGGUGGUAAAACUCAUGGGAUAGCUAAGUUCACUAAAGACAAAACAAAUAAAAUGGAUCCCUUACUUCCACAAAGCUACCAUCAGACAACAAAGCACGGCAAGCUUCACGGUCUCUCCUAUACGGAGAUAUCAAACUUGCAAUACAUACAAGGCCCGCAUCUGCAAAUAACUUUGCCACUUCACCUGUCCAAAAUAGUUGAAACUGUCAAUUACACAAGGCUAGAAAGUAUUAAAUAAUGGCACAAGAAGGACUCUGUUCACCAUUGUUUCCUCAUGGGAGUUUCAUUAAGUUCAAUGCAAACAUUUCUGUGUUCAGGAGACACUUACCAACUCUCCUUAUAUUUUCAGCACGAUCUUCAGCUUUAAAGCCAAGAUCCUUGUUUAGUCCAUGUCUUAAGUUAUCACCAUCAAGAACGUAUGCAAGCUUCCCUCUUGUAUGGAGCUCUCGGCCUAAUGUACAUGCCAAGGUACUUUUACCUUGACAAAGGUAAUGCAGAAAAAAAAACAAAAUUAGAUUAAAAAUACAGGACGCCAUUUUUUUAAAAAAAGGCAAAGUUUCAAUUGAAAAAAAAUAGUGAUUAUUGGAAAUCUAUCAUUUACAAGUUGUCAUUCUUCGUAAGAACAGAAAUAGUUUCUGAUAUAGUGCCCAUUUGUUAAUCUAAGUCCAGAAGAUAGUGUGAACAGAAAAUAGGAUAAUAUCAGCAAACAUAAUGGAUGUCCACCAUACAAAUAGUAAAAUUUUACAUUACAGUGCUAUUUGAAACAUUGUAGGUUUGCCGUUUAACAACCUUGAAGAUAUUUGGUCAAAUGCAUGGCAACUAAAGAAAGGUCAUGAGCAAUUUGUCCAAGCCAAAAUACAUGGUCAUUUUUAAUUACAACAAUAACAACUUGACCAUCUAUCCAGUCAAAACAGGUUGACCAUCUAGAUUUGAGAACAGAGCUGAGAGCUGAACUAAAUUUCCAUAAAACUAGCAAUUCUUGACCAGAUUUUUACUAGCAUAGAAUGCACAGAAGCAAGAGAGAAAAGGUUCAAAAAUUACCUAAGAGGCAAUAACAGUGUGAUCCGUUCAAUUACUUAAAAACCAUGAAGGCAUCAGGAAUUUUACUCUAAAGUCUACAAUGAAACCAAGAGUGGUUACAGCUUUUGGCCUAAACUGAUUUUAAUAGAAUCCGAUGAUAUAUAAAACAGUUCAUGUGAUAGUACAGAAAUCUAAGUCCAUGCAGGCGACAGUAUACAGCAACAAAGCCCAACAAGAGACAAACAAAGAGGACAUAAUAAUAUAUAAUGUAGGAACUAGGAAGAGUCACUGACUGCAGUUGAUAUUAUCCACACUUCAAGAAUUUAAAGAUUGAUUGACAAAGCAAGAAGCAGACAACAAACCAGAUUGAGAGAAAGGGAGCCUUAGUUACCUGAACCACUAAGGCCUGUAAUCCAGACAACACAACCUUUCUGCUUGAGUAGCUUCUGACGAUCAGCCUUGCCAACUGCGCAAUCAUGCCAGAAGAUAUUUGAUGACUUUGGCACAGUGGAUGACAUUUUUGAAGCUUUCUCCUCAACUACUGUGUACAAAUACAAUCAUUUAGACAACAAGAAAGGCUCCAAUUCUUUUCAAGCAAAUUAAAAAACAUGCAAUCUGAUUACCAGCGAAAUUACUAUAUUCUUUUCUUAAUUAGUAGAAGCUCUUUAUUGCGUGUUUCAUAAACAAUUACAGAAUUGGUUGCCACUGAGCAUUUUUGUACAAAUCAAUCGUGCUGUUCUUUCGAAUUCCUGAGUCAAAAAUUGCAAUAGUAAAUAGGACGCAUGGGGGAUCAUGUUGGUUAUAAGCUGGACAAACCCUAAACAAAUUGCAACAGUGUGGCUGACCACCUAUCCUCACUCCCGUCGCAUUUGAAUUGUCUUAAACCCCCUGUCCUUCUCUUCCUAUAGACUUGACUCACCCACCUCAAUCCCCACUCAGCCCCUCACCUCCCCUCACCGCCUCACUGUCACCCUUUAGCUCUGCUACUGAAUCCCUUUCGGACUUCUCUACCAAGCUAGCGGCCUGGAGACCACGGCAGCGAUAGACCACCUCCUCGGUCCUCACAGCCGCGUAAAAAUGUCCGCCACAGUCGCGCUCGAGAUAGAGGCCGAUACCGGAAAGACGCCUUUCGGCCCCAACUCGAAACGAUCAAGUGUAAAAAAAAAUCGCGGGAAGAAAAGGAAAUAUGAUCAUGGGUUCUACUAGUCCGUCGAAAUGGAACAAAAUCUGGAAUUUCGCCUAAUUCACACGCACCCGAGUCCCCCGAUCGGGCGAGUGGCGCCCACAUUGGAUCGAAACAGCGAAGAGGAAACAGGGGAGGAGAGGCGGCUACGUGCCUAGACUGACCUCCUGCGUGCUCCUGAAUCGAUCGGUCGCCGGUGCAUUCGACGAGGGGGCGUCUGUCGAAGCCUCCGUCGCCUGUUACCCUCGUCCCAGUCCCGGCGGCUUGGGACCUCGGAAGGCGGGGGCGGGGCGGAGGCAACCCUAGAUUCGCGACGGGGCUCUGGUUCCGGUGCGCGGCCGCGAGGCGCGAGCAGCGGCCAGGGGAGGGAAAGGUACACCCACCAGGCCACCACCGCUGGAAUUGGCACGCGGAUCGCGAGGGCACCACCACCACCCCGCGCGCCGCGGUGCGGUGGAGGAGGCUGCUAACGGGAGGCGGGCCGGGUGGGCGCGCCGCGAGGCGUGCCGCUCGUGGGGCGUCCAUGGGGCGGUGGUGGGGCUCAGUGGCUGACUGACUGACUGGUGGCGCCGGCGUGUCCUCAAAAGAAAGGGGCCUUUUGUUGCUGACGCCGUGGCCACGUAGGCUCCAAGGCCCGCCCGCACUAUUUUUUCGGCUCAGUUCGGCAAAUUUCAGAUAUUGAUUUUUCAAUUGCUGUAUUGAUCCAAUAUCAAACCAAAGAGCUAUUGCAGUAUCAUUAAAAAGCGUUGAUAAAACCAAGUAAGUGUAAAGUAUUUUAGGCAGAAAUAUUUUGAAAAAUAUUUUUCCAACCUUCUCUUUCCUGUAUACCUGCAAACUUUAGUGCAAAUGCAACUUCGGAAUGCACAAUAUCAAUAGCAUCUCUGAAAUUUUAUCACUCGCAUGGCACUUUGAAUUGUGGACUUGUUAUCUCAGUCUCAGCCCAUUCAGGAGGCAUAGGCAUUUUUUUAAGCAACGAUGAUGGAACGUACUAAUAAAACAAUUAGUACAUAGCAAUACUAAAUUAUGAUGCAGUCCUAGGAUCUUUUGGAUAGUCCAGGUAGCUCCAGCACAAAUUGAAUCAGCCGACCAUCUUGCCACCACCAUUAUGCUAGCGCUUGGCCAUCACAAUAUCUCUACAAAUAUCACUUUGGUCCUAGAAACAGUAUGAAAAUCACCGUAUCCUAAUUCCAAAUCUGUAAAUAAUGGUUUUAUCCAAAACAAUGAAAAUUUGGUACUUGAGGACCUAUUUGGUAUGCUGCUCCACUCUAAAACUCCAGGUGGAGACAGCUUCACUCCAUAAUUCCAAAACUAAAAUGGGAUGUUUAACUAGAUGGGUGCCUCCAGCUCCAAAAGGAGGGUCUUUUUGGAUGGAUUGUCGCUGUUACCCCAAUCCAUGACCCCACUUGUCAUUCGGUCACACAUUAUCUUUUCUUCGGGACGCUCGCCGUCGCGGCGUUGCUCGUGCUCGUCUCCUUCGACGCGUGCGCGUGGCAGAGCCGUCUACUCCGCGUCCUCGACCUUAGCUCGUUGCUCCAUGGCCCCCACCUCCUGCUCACCUUCUUCACGGGGCUCCUACCACCGCCGCCGAGGCGCUCCGCCUCCCGUUCUUUGGCCGAGCCGCCAUGCUCCCGCCGCGCCACCGCACCAUGCUAUGCCUCGCGUACCCGCUUGUCGCGUAUGGCAUCGUCGAGCCGGGGAUGCUCGCCACGCCGGCCGCCGUCGUGGCGUACCCGGGCCACCUCGCGCACGCCGCGGAUGGCCUCGUUGGAUAGGGGCAGCGGCCGGCCGGCGGCGCGCCCGACGGGGCCCACGAGGGAGCUCGCGCAGCCGGGAGGGGCUCCGGCGGCCGGCGGGGCUCGAAUUGACGACGGCAGGGAGGGGCUAGGCGGCCAGGAGGGGGCAGGCGACCGGUGGCGGGGAGCAGUCGCGCGUGAAGGCAGGCGCAAAACAGAGCAGUCACGUGUGAAGGAAAUAGGCGGGGGGUCUGGUGGAAUAGAAUCGAACUUUUUCUCUGUAACCAGUGGCAUUGGUAGGUAAUUACCCACCAACUCCACGAGGAGGUUGAAAAGAGGGGGUUUUGGAGCUGCAAAAGAGGUGCUCCAAAACUCCACCCCAAUUUGCACCACAGUUUCAUGAAGUUGUCAGCUUCAUGGAAUUUUGGAGCUGGGGUGUUUGGCUGGAACUUUUGGGGGAGUUCUAGAGUGGAACCAUGCCAAACAGGCCAUUAAGAUCCACUUAAUACCUCAUUUGCGAAGAAAGUCAAAUGUCAGUUGUCCGAACUCCGAAGGAAAAGCCUAGUGUCUUCGAUAAAUCCAUAAUAUCGAGAGAGUGAAUUUCAAGAAAUGAAUCCAGUAGAAAACUUGGGUGUAGGUGGAAUGAUGGUUUUAUAAAUAUGUAUAUAUAUUGUUUUAUANNNNNNNNNNNNNNNNNNNNNNNNNNNNNNNNNNNNNNNNNNNNNNNNNNNNNNNNNNNNNNNNNNNNNNNNNNNNNNNNNNNNNNNNNNNNNNNNNNNNGACUCUUGACACGUUGCAAAUGUUGAAUGUUCAAACUUUACCCAAAAUCAUAUCAUGUCACAGCAGGUUCCAAUAAUAAACUCUCCAAUACUUCAAAACUGACCAUGUCAACACGUAUGGGCCCAUACCAUCAGCUUUCCCCCUCGUAAUUUCUUUUGCGUCGGUCAUGAAUACGUAUGAGUGCCUUGACCGAUCGUCCUUAUCCUGACUUUUUCCAGCCAUGGGAUGUUGUAUCCUGCCGACUGCCACGUAGCUUCCUCCAUCUCCUAGCGCUGCUACUAGAUUGCUGCCUCGUCGCCGCCGCUGCCUAGCCGCUACGCCGCCACGCUAGGGACUAGCGCAUCGGAAGCCCGCCAUCCCCAUGACUCCUCGCUCGUGCGCCGCUCGAGCGCCUUGCUCAUGCUGGCAUCGUUGCCCGACCCCGCCCUGAAGGCUGCUCCGGAGGCAGCCAAGGUGGAAGGGUGGCGGCGUGCGGCCGAGCCUCGCCAAGCGGCUGCUGCUGGGGAGCCUCCUGGAGGACACGCUCACCGCGGCGCUCGCCGACGCGAUCCCCAACUGCCUUCCCAUCACCAUGAGCCCCUACCACCUACUCCCCGGCACCGUCGCGCCAGCCGCCGAAGACCCCACGGCUGCCUCGGCUUGCUCGCUCACCGCCCUGCUGGUGCCGUCACGUACGUCAGCUUUGGCACGGUCGUUGCGGCGCCGCCUGAUGAGCUCCGCGAGCUUGCCUACAGGCUCGAGGCCAGCGGCGCUCCCUUCCUGUGGUCGCUGCAUGAGGACAUGUGGCCGCUGCUCCCGCCGGGUUCCUGGACUGUGUCAAGGCGACCAAUAACUCCGGCCGAAUCCUCGUGCCGUGGGCGCCGUAGGGCGCCGUGCUGCGGCACCCAUCGGUGGGCACGUUCGUCACGCACUCUGGCUGGGGAUCCAUCGUCGAGGGGAUGUCCGGCGGCAUGCCCAUGCCGAUGAUGGCCUGUCGCACUACCGCCCCUUCUUCGGGGACCAGCAGAUGAACGCGCGUGAUGUGGUGCAGGAAAGGAGUGCGGUGGGCGAUUGGGGGAGGAGAGACCGCACGCAAAUAAGCGGGGUGACGGGAUUGCGAUUGGGGUGGGCGAAAAUAUGCGGACGGUUUGGGUGAGCUGUUGGAGCGCAGUUUUUUUUCUCCCAAAUUAAGUUAUUAGGGGUAGUUUAGAGUGACUUUUGGAGUUGCUCUUAGUCACCAAGUAACGGCUGAGAAAAAAAUUUCCUGCUCCUUGACAAAUCUCACAGGACAGCCUGCAAAUAUGUGUAAACAAAGAAAUAGUCGCAUGACUAUUUCAUAUUUAAAAAAUGACAUAUUUGUGUUGUUGUUCUUAUUUUCUCUAUCAUUUCAACACUGGCAACGAAAUAGCCAUUUCUCUGCAACAAUAUUCCCAUGACCAAAAUAAUUUACAAACACCCCCAACGAGAAACCUUAUAUAGUAGUUGACAACAACAUCACAGUGAUGCUUUUGGGAUGGCUGAAAAAGUUAAUGCUUACAAUGCCGGUAUGAGAGGAACAAAGUGAGGAACAUAAUUGAUCAAGACACACCUGCAAGUAAUCGGUGCGUGCCAAUCUGAAGUUGAUGGACCAAGUUCUUGUGGUGCAAGCAUGUCAGCUCCUGCAUUAGUACAAAAGUCUAAAUUAGUGUAAGACAUCGGAUAUUACAUGAGAGGUUCACAAAAUCACAAGGACAGAGGCAUCAUGCGAAGAACUUCAAGACAAUUAUCGUGUAGUAGUUUCCAUUUUUCUAGAUAUCUGAGUAUAGCUUCCUACCUAAGUUGUUUGCAAAUCUAAUUCAUGAAAUGGAAAUUAACUAAAGAUCCUAUAUUCUCAAAAUACAACUGCCAUUGAUUUGUUAUUACUUUAUAAAAACCACAUAAUAUAUCAAUAUCGAGAAAGUAAAUGAUCGACUUGACGAUUUUUGAUAGAAAUCAUCAUCUAUAUAAACUGGAUCGGGGAUGCACACAUGAUUUCAGAAAGUUGCUACUUAAUAAAAUUGCUAGAAGCUUUGGCUUGCAGUGUCAAAAUAUCAUAGUUAGAGAUAUGCACCUUUCUUCUUCUCACACCAAUCAUUGUCUCAACAUCACAACAGGUGUGUUCAAGUAAUCCAAUUAUAUGGAGAUUUCCAUGAUUUUGUUACUAUUGGCAUGCACAAAAUUGCUCUGUGUAUGUAAACACUAUGCUGAUGUACAAAUUAGCAGCGCAACAAUACUCCUCCAUAUAAAUCCAUACUCUCUGUUAGUUUUCAGCUACAGCUAUAGAUUAUCUAGAAUUGUCAAGGAGAAGCAAAACAAAAUGGAAUUUUAUGGCACAGUUAUAAACUAAUGCGGAGUAACUAAAGAUCAAGCUAAGCCACACUGGGUAAAUUUAGGAAUGAGCUACAAAAAGGAUGUCUUACAAACUGGGAAGACCAUGGGUCAAAACACAUCGAUGCCUCACCAUCCCAUGUACAAUUUUCUCUGAUAUCCAUUUUCUCGUAGUUCACUGACUCGAUUCUCAGUGCCUAUAGCGGUUCUCUCUCCACCGCUAACUUGCAAAUAAAAAAACAUUAUCAUAACCCAUAUAGCUUUCACAUAAAAAAAUCAAGUAAGCUAGCUAAUGUUAUUAAGGAAGUUCUGAUCGGUACAAUAAGAACUUUGGAUUGCUGCACAUGAAUGGCAUAAAAGGAGUUGAUGUUGUCAAUCAUUCUAAGCUGAUCUAGGGCCCAGGCUGGCAAGCUGGGGGUGCUGCAGCACGGGUCUAGCUCAUGUAUUUGCCUACUAUAUAUAUGCUGUUGUGCGGCCUAUUCAGCUGGUUCUUAACUCUCUCUUGCAUACAGAGGAACAGAUUGUGGUUUAGCCCGAGGUCUAGCACAUUUCUGGGACCGCCCCUGGGCAUAUAUGCUAUGACAAAGAGCUCUAAGAUACCUGUAAUCUCAUUUUAGGACUAGCAAUUAUGCAAUGCUUCUUAUCCUGGAAAUAAACACCAAAUAUGUGUAAAAUGCAUGAUGCUGACAGAAUCCUAAAGUUUCAUGCUAACAUAUGGUUAAAUGCAGAUAAAUGAUUCAGAGUUUUUGCCUUCUCGAUAUAAAGAAUGCAAAUACAUCACUUUUUUUUGUUUUUUCAAUUGUGUUUUCUUGAAAGGAAAGUUACUUCCUGUUAGCUAUGCAUAUAUCUGUUCCAUGCAUAUAGCUUGCAGUUCUUCAUUGAUUAAAGAACUGUUUGGUGAACUUUUGACCCUACAAAGCCUUGUACUUUGAGAUGAUGUUUGCAGAAUAAGUAGCCCAGAGGAAAAUAAAACAAGAAAAGAUAAUACUUGUAAAUGUUGUGAUUGUAAAUCUAAAUGUUUGCUUUAUCAACAAAGAAAGCAGAGGCGGCUCUAGAGGGGGGCUGCUAGUUUGUGGAUUAGUGAUAAGAAUAUUCUGCUAGGACUUGUGGUUUUCAUUUUUAUUUAAUCACAAAAUAAAAUAAAGUUUGUUUUUAUUUGUUUGCAGACGCGUCAAACACAUAAACCUUUUUGGAUCCUGAAGAAAUUACAUCAAGGAGCAUACCAUUCACAAGAGACGUAAAGGUAAAUACGGCAGUUUGUAUAUUUCAGUAGAUGGGAAGGCGUGUCUAACUUUAUUAAUUAUGUUUGCAAUAUAAUAUACUUAAAAUUCAAUUUUUUUGGUUUACUGCUAUAAAAUUUUGGAAUUGGCCAAAAACAUUAUGCAAAAGGAACAAGGAUCAUAGAUCUGACUCCUGUAAUUCUUUUCAAUACUUUUUGGUUUUCGUGACGCACAGGGUGGAAGAAAAGCCUAUCUUUUGUUAGCCAAGAAACUGGAUGCGAUACUUUGUAUAUAGACUACUUCUUCCUUUCCCAGCAUUUGCUCCCUGACUUAAGACAUGGAUAGUCGUUACAAUACUUGUGUAUAGGGUGGUUGUACUUCUUGCACCAAUGCAUUCCGAGUUACGGGCUGUUAGUAUCAUUCCUACAUAUGUGGUCAUGUGGAGUAUGUAGGCUCAAGAAACAGAAAGUGGAUUUUUGCCCUUGUUCCUGAAAACCUGGAUACCGUAAAGCAUCCAAG